RNAcentral lists this transfer-messenger RNA (346 nucleotides) under Clostridium sp. SCN 57-10. It matches the Rfam family "transfer-messenger RNA". From Rfam's summary of the family: Bacterial tmRNA, also known as 10Sa RNA or SsrA, is named for its dual tRNA and mRNA-like properties. Its role is to liberate the mRNA from a stalled ribosome. Lineage: Bacteria; Bacillati; Bacillota; Clostridia; Eubacteriales; Clostridiaceae. RNAcentral also lists the same sequence under 1 other name. The record is from RNAcentral.
GGGGGCGUACCGGUUUCGACGGGGACGCGGAAUCAGGUCAAGCGGGCGGAGGCGCACACCCUCCUAAAAAUGUGUAACUUAAAAACUAAACAACAACAACACUGUUGCUGUCGCGGCCUAAUUAGGCUGCCGUCUUUACCGGGAGCGCCGCGGCCCGGAUAAAGGCGUCGAUUAGCGGCGUCCGUGAGUACGCAAAGCUUUGAGCGUGCCAUGCAUCAUGAAGCUACCAAACCACGCAGUUUGACGGUUGACUGCGCGGGGCGGGAAUUCUGACAACCGUCUGCGCCCGGAGAAAGACUUGUGGAAGGGUUUUCGGACAGGGGUUCGACUCCCCUCGCCUCCACCA